This 253-nucleotide ribosomal RNA is filed under the name uncultured bacterium. RNAcentral describes it as "partial 16S ribosomal RNA". It matches the Rfam family "Bacterial small subunit ribosomal RNA", at positions 524 to 776 of the family's 1533-position model. The record is from RNAcentral.
UACAGAGGGCUCAAGCGUUGUUCGGAUUCAUUGGGCGUAAAGGGUGCGUAGGCGGCGCGAUAAGUCGGGUGUGAAAUCUCGGAGCUUAACUCCGAAAUUGCAUUCGAUACUGCCGUGCUCGAGGACUGGAGAGGAGACUGGAAUUCAUGGUGUAGCAGUGAAAUGCGUAGAGAUCAUGAGGAAGACCAGUGGCGAAGGCGGGUCUCUGGACAGUUCCUGACACUGAGGCACGAAGGCCAGGGGAGCAAACGGG